RNAcentral lists this long non-coding RNA (1256 nucleotides) under Setaria italica (foxtail millet). RNAcentral's name for it is "long non-coding RNA (SITA_LNC003819)". Lineage: Eukaryota; Viridiplantae; Streptophyta; Magnoliopsida; Poales; Poaceae. The record is from RNAcentral.
CCCUUCGAGUCGUUCUUCCAGCUGGCUUCUGACCUCUUACACAAUGGCAUUUGUAGCCUGCAACGGAAUCAGAAAAACAAAAUAUUAAACGUGUACUCCUACCACCUAAAUGAUAGUCAUUACUGGUUUUGGUUGCCAUCUCUAAUUGAUGCAUGCAGAUCCAAAUAUAUAAAAUAAAUGAGAGCAGCGACGGAGAGAUUGUACAGAUAAAGUUUCCAUGAUUCAUUGGCAGCGGCUUAGAUGGCGGCAAGCCAGCGAGUGGACAGAGGCACGAUGUUGGCAUGGACUUCUCCGGAGCAGCAGCAACAGCUGAUUGAUCAUUUACAGAGAUUGUCACUGCCAUUGAAAGUUAAUAAAAGAGAGUCAUGCUUGUGCAUCCUGUAUAUAGUUGGCUAUUUUAUAGAACUAUUGAUCAUUUUCACCUUUCUUUUAGAUCCGCAUAGAAUUUUCCAACAUAUAGCCAUAUAGUUGCGGCAGAAACAGGCAAAUUUAACACAAAAAAUUAUUCAGAAUUAGACUAGUCAACGGCAUUGUGAGCAUACUCUAAAUGAAUCAGGCUUCUCCCUGAUCGAAAUCCACUAUACCAUCUGCCAGUCUAUUCAAUUCAGUUAACGGAGUCCUGCAGAACCUUGUCGAAAAGGUAUCUCCAUUGUGAAAAAAAUAACAUGGAUCAGAUGCCACUAAAAAGCUUUUUGUUUGAACAUAUACUAGAAUGGCAUAAAACAUGAGAACCAUAACUAGAUUGAUUUUUUAAAAUUGAUGAUUAGAAUAAUCUUGGCAAUAAACAAUUUACAGCCGCUACAGUUCCUGGUGUCUCAGUAAGAUAAACUAAGAUCAGAUAAAACAAGUAAUCCCAAUUCAAGUAUCGAUGCAUCCAAAUAACCAGACUAUUGCAUUAGCACACGAAACUUGCUUGUAAUCUGAGCACGAAAAUUGGACUCCAAGGUUGAGAACCAGGCUCAAUGUCUGAAUGAGAUCAGCAAGUCAGAGGGGAUUUUCGGAAGGGAGAGGGAGGCAACCUGUAUGUCCAGCCACCGCCACCUAGGAUAUCAGAAAAUUCCUGCAUCUGUUCCUCCUAAUGGAAGAUGUUGUCCACUGCGGCUGAUCCCCAGGGGUAUCAGCUGGUGAUAUACCAUUGACCUGAAAAGAAAACGACAAUUCAACUGAGCAAAGAUAGUGAUGCUACAAGAAAAAAAAGGAAACCUGUGUACAUGAGUAAACAUUGCAAAUAUUUACAAGAACAGUUCAUGUGCAGG